Molecule: ribosomal RNA, 226 nt
Filed under: uncultured Hydrogenophaga sp.
Lineage: Bacteria; Pseudomonadati; Pseudomonadota; Betaproteobacteria; Burkholderiales; Comamonadaceae
Description: partial 16S ribosomal RNA
Rfam family: Bacterial small subunit ribosomal RNA
Source: RNAcentral
ACUCCUACGGGAGGCAGCAGUGGGGAAUUUUGGACAAUGGGCGCAAGCCUGAUCCAGCAAUGCCGCGUGCAGGAAGAAGGCCUUCGGGUUGUAAACUGCUUUUGUACGGAACGAAACGGUCUGGGUUAAUCUACCGGUAAUGACAGUACCGUAAGAAUAAGCACCGGCUAACUACGUGCCAGCAGCCGCGGUAAUACGUAGGGUGCAAGCGUUAAUCGGAAUUACU